Molecule: transfer RNA, 82 nt
Filed under: Planctomycetales bacterium
Lineage: Bacteria; Pseudomonadati; Planctomycetota; Planctomycetia; Planctomycetales
Description: tRNA-Tyr
Rfam family: tRNA
About the family: Transfer RNA (tRNA) molecules are approximately 80 nucleotides in length. Their secondary structure includes four short double-helical elements and three loops (D, anti-codon, and T loops).
Source: RNAcentral
GGUGGAUUUCCCGAGUGGCCAAAGGGGGCAGACUGUAAAUCUGCUGGUUGUACCUUCGGAGGUUCGAAUCCUCCAUCCACCA